CGUUUUUUGUAUUUUUUAUAAAAGAUAUAACCUGCCCAAUGAAUUUUGAAUGGCCGCGGUAUCUUGACCGUGCGAAGGUAGCAUAAUCAUUAGUCUAUUAAUUGUGGACUGGUAUGAAUGGUUGGAUAAAGAGUAUCUGUUUCUUUAACAAAAAUGAAUUUUAGGUUUUUGUGAAGACGCUAAAAUGUAAUUAAGAGACGAGAAGACCCUAUUAAGCUUUACAAUUUAAGAGUUUUUAACAUUUACUUAUUUGAUUGUUUUAUUGGGGCGAUAGUAAAAUUUUAACUUUUAUUUGUAAGAAAUACUUUUAAGUAAAAUUAUUGAUCCGUAAUUUACGAUUAAAAGAACAAGUUACUAUAGGGAUAACAGCGUAAUCUUAUUGGAGAGUUCAUAUUGAUAAUAAGGAUUGCGACCUCGAUGUUGAAUUAGGAUACCUUUAGGGUGCAGUUGUUCUAAAAGGUAGUCUGUUCGACUAUUAAAAUCCUACA
RNAcentral lists this ribosomal RNA (488 nucleotides) under Paralamyctes levigatus. RNAcentral describes it as "partial 16S ribosomal RNA". It matches the Rfam family "Bacterial large subunit ribosomal RNA", at positions 1828 to 2600 of the family's 2925-position model. The record is from RNAcentral. Lineage: Eukaryota; Metazoa; Arthropoda; Chilopoda; Lithobiomorpha; Henicopidae.